GGACGCAGCACCCGAUCCAUGAGAUGCUGAAACGUGGCCGGGGCCCCAAACAAGUGUGGUAAAUUGGUACAAACCGUACGGGGUGGAGAAUGCCGUUUUCUCCUUGGACUCUGGCGACAGAGGAAUCUGCCAGUAGCCCUUGGUUAAAUCCAGUGUCGUGAAGAAACGUGCAGUGCCUAGCCGGUCCAGGAGUUCGUCGACCCGGGGCAUUGGGUAAGCAUCGAACCGUGACACGUCAUUCACCCUGCAAUAGUCCACGCAGAACCGUACAGAUCCAUCCUUCUUAGCCACAAGGACGAUGGGGCUGCACCAGGCACUGUUGGACUCUUCUAUUACCCCCAACUCCAACAUACUAGCCAAUUCCCUCCGAACCACUUCUUUCCACUGCUUCAAUUGAUCAAAUGUCUGAAGUGUAUUCCCAUACACAUUCACACACAUAAUAAAACUAGUUUUAUAUGGUCAUCUACACAUACAUAUUAUACAUAAGCUUAUACGCAUGAAUAGGAUAUAUGAACUGUAUCAAUUUGAUUCUUUUGGCUUGUUUUUAUUUACAUACUCUGAAAGAGUUGAGAUCAUGAUUCUCAUUGGAGGAUGAUGCAUGCAUGAAGCGUCAUGAAAGAAGGCACAUUUAAAGAAAUAUAAUCGGAUUAGAGUAACGAGGCACUUAAAAUGAGCCUAUACAUUUUACCAACACGCAUUUAACGUUAACUUGUCUGCGAUACUUUGUUGGGCUUGUAGCCUCGCUACAAGGAGCGGUGUCAGUUUUUGCCAUGACUAUAAUUAAUUUCAUAUCGCACAUUUGCCUGAGGUCUUUACAGUCUGUACACAUGUGACAUCCUCUGUCCCGAAACCCUCAGCACAGGACAAACUCCCCAAACAAUGACAAGCCCUUUAAAGGUUUCUUCCCUUUAUUCUCCCCAUCAGAGAGACACAGGAGUAUCCUCCCCGGGAUGGACAGACUGAGAUGGACUUACUGAAUGAACAACGUAAAAUAUGUAUAAUACGUUCAAUUCAUGCGACAAAUGAUUCAAAUUAACAUCUCAUCAUAUGAGUGGAGAAAAGUGUAUUUGCUGUUAUACUGUUAAAAUAUCCUGGUUUUCGGUGAUCGAUUCUUCCGCAUUCCCUGAUGACUGACAGCUGGUUCAAACUAACGAGACUGUCCCCCUCACACCUGAAACCCAUCAGGGUAUGACGACCUGAAGGCCUUCAUAAGGGUGGGAGACACACCAUUGAGGGGAAGAGAGAGAUGAGCUGCAGGUUCGGCCUGAUGCAAAAGACCAGACCAAUACAGGGACUGAGAAGACGAGGCAUUAUUUAAGUUUUACCGGCGAAGAGCGACCGAAGCCCAAGUUGCAGGCUGGCCUUCAGCGAAACAAACUACCUGGGGUACACCAUUGAAAGGGGUUUGGUCAAGCCCCAGGAAGCCAAGUUGCGGGCCAUACAGGACUGGCCACAGCCCAUCACCAAGAAACAGGUGGUCAUUUUUAGGCCUAGCCGGCUACUAUCCACGUUUUAUUAUGGAUUUUGCUACCAUAGCAGCCCCUCUAACAGAACUGACUCCCUCUGAGGCUCACUGAAUGGUGAGGUGGAACCCUGCGGCGGAGGCGGCCUUCAGCAACCUGAAGCGAGCUCUGUGCUCUGGUCCAGUCCUGGUGGCACCAGACUUCCAGAAGGAAUUAAUCGUCCAGGCGGACGCUUCAGAGGGCUGGCAAGAGCCACAGCAAUGCGGAUGCGCUCUCCAGACGUGACGCCUUCUGCACCUCCUUCACCCCGACGAGGACGUCAGUCUCGAGGGGGGGUGUGUGUGAUGUCACGAGAGGCUGGGUCUUGGAAGGGAGGGUCAAAACCGAGAUAUCAGUCGAAUGGAAAACAAAUCCAAAAAGGGGGCACGCAAAAAUCCAUUGACUUUUCCCUGCACAGUUUGAAGAAUGCCAAGGGGUCCCAGGGCCACUGUCCUACCUGAAAGGCAGGGGAGGAGAUGAGAUGGGGAGCGACUGGAGAAAGCCGCAGGGCAAGAAGAGCGGAGACGUUCAGGGGCAACGGGCAAAGGAGGACUGGGAGUGAGAGCCACAAAUGACAGAAAAGGUUCCGUCUGCCUGUGCCUCCCCUUGGUGAUUGAAGAGAUGAGCAGAAUAACCAUUUAAUUGUGAAUCUAUUUCUUGUGUGAAUUUAUCAAUGAUAUUGUCUUAAAAAUCACAGAUAGAUCCUGGAAAUGUUGAAUUUUUACAUUUUGUCACCUAGUUUUUUUCGCCCUGUUCACCUAUCCACUAACUCUAUAGUCCUUUCAGAUCCAUUCUCCGCCCCAGUGAACACUUGCGUGCACUUCCCUCACUUGAUACUCCCGCCCUGCUCACCUGCAGCUCGUUCCCACAUUACUCAUUCACUAUUUAGGUUCACUCACUUGCACCUGCCUCUUGCCACAUUGUAUUGUGUCCCUGCCAAGUUCUUCAGCAUGACAUUGCAGUCUGUCUCUGACCUUUUUCCUCUGACCCCUGGCUGCUGUUUUUUUACCUUCAAUUCUCUGCCUGCUCCUUUUCUUUGGUUUGCCUGUGUGACUGAUAUCCUGGUUUGCACCCUGCCUGUCAACCAAGCAAACCCACUUUGACAUAUUGUGCAUUUGGGUCAGACUACAGCUUAAACUUAGGUUUGUUUAUUCAAACACAAAUUUAACAGACCCUUGAUGUUCACACACCUCAUUUUCUUUUGCAUGUUUGUAAAAUGACCAGAAUAUCUUAUCGCUAUUGAAGAAGAAAAAGCAGACAACCACAGUUCGCUGUUGAUUUGACAAAGAAUGUUUGAUGUUUAUAUAAAAAAAAUGGAAAUUGAGCAAUCUGGGAUCCUGUCUACGAGAAGGGUCUCUUUUACCAGCUCCAGCAGACAAAGGCCCCACUCACACACCUUUUGUCUUAUUACCGUAAAUAGCCGGCGGGCUAGCUAACGCCCUGAGGAAGAUCCUCCAUUUGAGUGUCUUCCACUACCAAGGACCCGAUUUAAUGGUGAUAAGAGGUGGUGAAAUGGUUCAAACAUAAUACCUAAGUUAACACUGACAUUUAAAAAAACGAAAACAUUCCACUUGAAUGUUUGUACAGUCAGCUACAGACCGUGGAUCACUUUACCUGUGGACAGAACAGGAUAGCAGCUUUCCUAUUCGAAGUGCAGUGCUCAGAUCAGCUGGCCGGAUACAACAAUGUUAGAAUACAACAACACACAGGAAUACGGUGGAUAUACCGUAAAUCACAGACUAUAGAGCGCACCUGAAUAUAUGCAGCACCACCUAAAUUUAGAACGAAAAAAAGAUGUGCACAUAUAUACGCACCGGCCUAUAAACCGCAAGUGUCCACUCCAGUGACGUGCGGUCGCUGGAGGCAGUGCCUCCCCUUGUGUCAUCAUGAAAUAUGAAAAAAAAAAAUGUAUAUAUAUAUUUGUCCACUGAUCUGUGAUAGAUUAGAUUCAACUUUAUUGUCAUUGCACAAGUACUGAGGCAACGAAAUGCAGUUUAACAUCCAACCAGAGUGCAAAAUAGCAAAAAAUGUGCCAGUGUAAUUAUUAUGUGAAGUGAGUAUGUGAAGUGUAAUUAUUAGAUCAAUCAAUGCGAUCAUUGUUAUAGUUUAAAUGAAUUUGUAUUUUCAGCGACUAGCUGCGCCUCCUUCUCGGAUUGUGCAAUCCCUCAUAAACCAGAUUGAGCUGCUCAUGUUUUUGCCCAAUUUCAGCACGUGCAAUUAAUGUCUCUAUAUGUCACCAAUGUAAUGUUUGUAUCACAUGUCCUCACUCCCCAUAGUCUGGGUCCUGUAUUUCACGCAUGUUAGCUAAUCUGACGUAACGGCGCAGUAAGGAGGCAGCUGGACUGGCAGCUUUCUGCUUGUCACUGUUGUGGAGGCGGAGUCAGUACCUCUGCCUGUCUGAAGGGGGCGUGUGUGAGCACACGGGAUCCUUCCGCUGUUGUUUUUCUUCACGUAUCACAGACUGAUAGCAUAGUUAGCAUGUGCUAACUUAAUCACAGAUUUUCAAUAAUAAUGAAGUUUGCUUUCAAAGAAGUUCAUGUACUCUAUGUAAAGGUGUGUGCAUAUGAAGCUGUUCAAGUCCAGUUCCAGGCCUUCUCCAACCUCCAUCAUAUUGCAGUGCAUGCGGUUCUCCUGCUGUCACUGCUUCCUUCCCUACGUCUCACUCUUGUCUAUUCACGCCUCACUGUUUAUCUUUUACAAUAUCUUUGCUUAUUCUACCCAGUAUCUUUGCCCCCCAACUCCCCAUCAACCCUUCCUUUUGUAUUUAUUGCUGUAUUUAUUUCUGCUGAAAAGCCAGUCUAGUUCAUUUGCUAGUCGACCAGGCAGAGUAGGGCUCCUAUUCUUAGGCUUUUAUUAACAUCAUGGACUGCACAACAGCUACAGAAUCUAUUAUUCAUUAAGUGUAACCAAUAUAAAAUUUAAAACAGUCUGGGCUCUUUUUUUGGUGGAAAUAUGUAAGGUCAGCAUAAUUUUCUGCCUAUUACUAAUAUCUAUAUCAUCUUUUCCUUAGUCAGCUCCAUUUAAAUAUGCAAUCAUUUACAGCUUUUGACUAUAUGUGUGUGCACACCCAAUAUCCAAUAUUCCUCUACUAGACUUUUUAUGCUGACAUCAAUGGCAAGCUAUUAAAGACAGUAUUUCAUUAUUGGUUCUUCUUCCCCAGUGGUUAUUUACAAUCCCAUAUAUACUAAGCACUGAUAUUAAAGGAGACCAUUUUAAUGAGGUGCUAUCUGCCAUGGCAAUAUGUCUUUCUCCGAAUGAGAUUGUGUUUAAAGAUUUUAUCAAGAAAUGGCUGUUCGGCAGGGUUAUGUUUUGUCCAUGAAAUAUGCAUUUCAUAUCUCUUUCAUUUCAUUAACAUAAUUUAAUUUGUGCUUUGCAUUCUGUGCAUAAUACAUAUUUGAUUUACAAAACAAAUAUUUCCAUUAGAAAAUGAAUUUCAUGCGCGCAAAAGGCAGAACUGAAAGAUGUAUUGUAAAGAAGUAAGAGGAGAAAAGAAAACGAAUUGUAUUAUCUUUGACUCAGGGAAAAGAAGAAAUCAUUGGCAAGUAAAAAUACUCUCAAUAGAUUUCUUAUGUGUGUAUGCGUGGGGGGACACUCUGUUAUAUGUGCAUGUUUGUAUAGACAGUAUGUAAAUGGGAAAUAAAAGUCGUUGGUAUAUUGCAUGGAGUCUAGAGCCAUAUAACACAGAUUGAUUUACAUGACCUGCAUAGGGUUUCCCUCCCUGAUGUUAAGUUCACUCAUCAGAGUCACAUGACUUGUUUUGAAUCUUGAUUUUGUGUCCCUCCUUUUGAGAGUGAGACCUGUCUUAAGUGGGCAUUCUGUGGGGAGAAUCGUUGUGUGGGACGCGCACAUCAAGAGGCUUUAAUUUUUCCCAUCUCCAAGGUUUGUGCUCCAUGCAUAGGGCCAUCUUCUAUGCUUCCAGUUAAGAGCUGUUUAGCUCCUCUUCCUUGAGC
This is a long non-coding RNA of Gasterosteus aculeatus aculeatus (three-spined stickleback), 5452 nucleotides long. The record is from Ensembl. NCBI's taxonomy places the organism in Eukaryota, Metazoa, Chordata, Actinopteri, Perciformes, Gasterosteidae.